ACAGUUAACCUUUCCCUCUACAGGUUACAGGUGAGCACAGUUAACCCUUCCCUCAACAGGUGAGCACAGUUAACCUUUCCCUCUACAGGUGAGCACAGUUAACCCCUCCCUCAACAGGUGAGCACAGUUAACCCUUCCCUCUACAGGUGAGCACAAUUAACCCUUCCCUCUACAGGUGAGCACAGUUAACCUUUCCCUCUACAGGUGAGCACAAUUAACCCUUCCCUCUACAGGUGAGCACAGUUAACCUUUCCCUCAACAGGUGAGCACAGUUAACCCCUCCCUCAACAGGUUACAGGUGAGCACAGUUAACCUUUCCCUCAACAGGUGAGCACAGUUAACCCUUCCCUCUACAGGUGAGCACAGUUAACCCUUCCCUCUACAGGUGAGCACAGUUAACCUUUCCCUCUACAGGUUACAGGUGAGCACAGUUAACCCUUCCCUCUACAGGUGAGCACAGUUAACCUUUCCCUCUACAGGUGAGCACAGUUAACCCUUCCCUCAACAGGUGAGCACAGUUAACCCUUCCCUCUACAGGUGAGCACAAUUAACCCUUCCCUCUACAGGUGAGCACAGUUAACCUUUCCCUCUACAGGUGAGCACAAUUAACCCUUCCCUCUACAGGUGAGCACAGUUAACCUUUCCCUCUACAGGUGAGCACAGUUAACC
Long non-coding RNA from Siniperca chuatsi (mandarin fish), 669 nucleotides. RefSeq lists it as uncharacterized. NCBI's taxonomy places the organism in Eukaryota, Metazoa, Chordata, Actinopteri, Centrarchiformes, Sinipercidae. The transcript is spliced from 3 exons. The record is from RefSeq and is a predicted model, not a curated record.